GAUGAACGCUGGCGGCGUGCUUAACACAUGCAAGUCGAACGGAAAGGCCCUGCUUUUGUUGCGUGCUCGUUUGGCGAACGGGUGAGUAACACGUGAGUAACCUGCCCUUGACUUUGGGAUAACUUCAGGAAACUGGGGCUCUUACCCGCUAGGAUCUCCUGCUGCAUGGUGGUGGUUGGUAAGUUUCGGCGGUUGUGGAUGGACUCGCGGCUUAUCAGCUUGUUGGUGGGGUAGUUGCUUACCAAGGCUUUGACGGGUAGCCGGCCUGAGAGGGUGACCGGCCACAUUGGGACUGAGAUACGGACCAGACUCCUACGGGAGGCAGCAGUGGGGAAUAUUGCACAAUGGGCGGAAGCCUGAUGCAGCAACGCCGCGUGCGGGAUGACGGGCUUCGGGUGGUAAACCGAUUUCGCAUGUGACGAAGCGGGAGUGACGGUAAUGGGUAAAGAAGCACCGGCUAACUACGUG
RNAcentral lists this ribosomal RNA (468 nucleotides) under uncultured bacterium. Its description in RNAcentral is "partial 16S ribosomal RNA". It matches the Rfam family "Bacterial small subunit ribosomal RNA", at positions 28 to 507 of the family's 1533-position model. The record is from RNAcentral.